This 1219-nucleotide long non-coding RNA is filed under the name Helianthus annuus (common sunflower). RNAcentral's name for it is "hypothetical non coding rna". Lineage: Eukaryota; Viridiplantae; Streptophyta; Magnoliopsida; Asterales; Asteraceae. The record is from RNAcentral.
GUUUCUACUAUUUAGCUUGGGUAUGUGGUGAUGAGGCGUGCACAUGAAAGUUAUCUCAUUAAUUAUUAGUUUCUAAAGCUGCUAUCCUAAUUUUGUCGUUAUUUGCUACUGUAGCUAUUCAAUUAAUUAUAAAUGGAUAUCUUAGAAGAAAACAAAAACGGUCGGUCUUGUCACUUUUGUGUACCAAAUCCUCUAAAUCUUUUUAUUAUAAUAAUAGGAAUUUACGAAAAUCACCAAUAAUAAAGUUUACUUACCAAAAUAGCCGGUUUAUGCGUCAUUGGAACGUGGCAUCACCUCUCUUAUGUGUUCUUAAUUCUUUAAAUGGAUGCGUGUAUAGAUGAAGCAGCAAGUACGACAAUGAGAUGCAUGGGAUGAGUCACGGACGAAUGGGAUGAGUCACGGACGCAUGGGAUGAGUUGGCGCAUGAGAUGAUGGGACGGACGCAUGGGAAGAGUCACGGACGCAUGGGGAUGAGUCGGCAAUGCAUGGGAUGAUGGGAUGACUCAAAUCUCCUAAAAGUAAAUUUUAUGAGUCACGGACGCAUGGGAUAAGUCAUGGACGCAUGGGACGCAUGAUGUCAUUGAGAAACGUGUGACUUCUAUAUUGGCGGACGCAUGAAUGAGCCCUGCAGACGCAUAAGCUCUCUCGUAAUCAGUGAAGCCCUGCUCCACCGACGUAUGAGAUGACUAUUGUGGCAAGUGGCGACACUAAAACAUUAUUGUUUGAGAAUAUAGCCCAACUCAGGAACUAUAUAUGUACAGGAAUCAGGAACAUUUGAGUUUAUGUAGAACUAGUUGUUUUACCCGUUGCGCGUUGCAGCGGCGUCAUGUCCAACGUGAUAAAUUAUAGACUACAAUCAACCUAACUCAUUUUCGAACUAAAUUUACGCUGAAACGUAGAGUAAUUUGAAUUCAUACCGUUAAAUGAAAAUUUAUUAUAUUUGACCUUACUUAUUUCUAAACAAAAUAUACGUUGAAACGUAGACCAACUCAAAAGGACAUAAAAUAAACACGUGUAGCGGCAUCAUACACAACGUGAUAAAGUAUAGACUAUAAUCGAUUAGACUCGUUUCCGUACUAAAUUUACAUGGAAAUGUAUAGUAACUCAAAUUUAAACUGUCGAAUGAAAACGUAUUAUACCUGACCUCAUUUAUUUCCAAACAAUUUUUACGUCAAAACAUACAUAAAAUAAAACAUUUUAUAAUUAACCCGACUUGUUU